This 624-nucleotide long non-coding RNA is filed under the name Callithrix jacchus (white-tufted-ear marmoset). RNAcentral describes it as "lncRNA (ENSCJAG00000072398.1)". Lineage: Eukaryota; Metazoa; Chordata; Mammalia; Primates; Cebidae. The record is from RNAcentral.
AUGCAUAUUCACAGCAGCUUUAUUCCCAGUAGCCAAAACCUAGAAGCAAGUAUCCAUGAAUUACUAAUACACGAUAAAAACGAAUGAACUGCUGCUAUACAGAACAACACAGAUGGAUCUCAAAAUUAUUAUGCUAAGUAACAGAAUCCAGACGCAGAAGACUGCAUAAUGCAUUCAAGAUCUUCUGACGUCGUGGCAAGUGAUAAGUCCGAGGGCUGCCGUAGAGUCAACCAAGCAUUAAAAGUCAUGGGAAGCUCUAAAGCCUCUCUUAUGAUAUUAGAGACGGGGUUUCACCAUGUUGACCAGGAUGGUCUCGAUCUCUUGACCUCAUGAUCCACCCGCCUUGGCCUCCCAAAGUGCUGGGAUUACAGGCGUGAGCCACCGCACCUGGCCCAUAUAUCUUUUCAUUCUGGCACCCUGGCUGAAGAUGUGACUAAUGUUGGGGAUAUACAGGUAAUCAUGAUGAAAGGUCAGAACAAGAGGCCAGCAGUUAAGUCAUUCUGUGGCAUUGAAAGAUUCUUCUGCUCAAUGUUUUAUAGUCUCUCUUUGACCAAACUCUCUAGCCAAGGGCUUCUGAGUCCUCUUCUCAACUAGGCCUCAAUCUGGCUUACAAAAAUUGCACAC